Molecule: unclassified non-coding RNA, 166 nt
Filed under: Guignardia gaultheriae
Lineage: Eukaryota; Fungi; Ascomycota; Dothideomycetes; Botryosphaeriales; Phyllostictaceae
Description: 28S ribosomal RNA
Source: RNAcentral
AUUUCAACCCUCAAGCUCUGCUUGGUAUUGGGCGACGUCCGCUGCCGGACGCGCCUCGAAGACCUCGGCGACGGCGUCUUAGCCUCGAGCGUAGUAGUAACAUCUCGCUUUGGAGUGCUAGGCGUUGGCCGCCGGACAAUCGACCUUUGGUCUAUUACUUCCAAGG